This 314-nucleotide ribosomal RNA is filed under the name Staphylococcus aureus. RNAcentral describes it as "partial 23S ribosomal RNA". It matches the Rfam family "Bacterial large subunit ribosomal RNA", at positions 2189 to 2502 of the family's 2925-position model. Lineage: Bacteria; Bacillati; Bacillota; Bacilli; Caryophanales; Staphylococcaceae. The record is from RNAcentral.
CUGGUGGGAUACUACCCUAGCUGUGUUGGCUUUCUAACCCGCACCACUUAUCGUGGUGGGAGACAGUGUCAGGCGGGCAGUUUGACUGGGGCGGUCGCCUCCUAAAAGGUAACGGAGGCGCUCAAAGGUUCCCUCAGAAUGGUUGGAAAUCAUUCAUAGAGUGUAAAGGCAUAAGGGAGCUUGACUGCGAGACCUACAAGUCGAGCAGGGUCGAAAGACGGACUUAGUGAUCCGGUGGUUCCGCAUGGAAGGGCCAUCGCUCAACGGAUAAAAGCUACCCCGGGGAUAACAGGCUUAUCUCCCCCAAGAGUUCA